Molecule: ribosomal RNA, 281 nt
Filed under: Hyalomma rufipes
Lineage: Eukaryota; Metazoa; Arthropoda; Arachnida; Ixodida; Ixodidae
Description: partial small subunit ribosomal RNA
Source: RNAcentral
CCUAUUAUUAAGAAUAAAAAAUUGUAAGUAAAUAUUAAUUACGAAAGCAAAAAAUUAUGGCGGUAUUUUAAGCUUUUCAGAGGAAUUUGCUCUUUAAUGGAUAAAACACCUAAACCUUACUUAAAUUAGUACCUUUCAGUUUGUAUACCACUAUUAUAAUAAUAAUUUGUUAUUAUUAUUAAUAUUCUUAAAUUAGAAUAAAAUUAAGUCAAGGUGCAGCAUAAAUUUAUGAAUGAAGUGAAUUACAUUUCUUUAAAGAAAAAUGAAAUUGAAAUAAAACA